Molecule: ribosomal RNA, 398 nt
Filed under: uncultured bacterium
Lineage: Bacteria
Description: partial 16S ribosomal RNA
Rfam family: Bacterial small subunit ribosomal RNA
Source: RNAcentral
AUACGUAGGGUGCGAGCGUUGUCCGGAAUUACUGGGCGUAAAGAGCUCGUAGGUGGUUUGUCGCGUCGUCUGUGAAAUUCCGGGGCUUAACUCCGGGCGUGCAGGCGAUACGGGCAUAACUUGAGUACUGUAGGGGAGACUGGAAUUCCUGGUGUAGCGGUGAAAUGCGCAGAUAUCAGGAGGAACACCGGUGGCGAAGGCGGGUCUCUGGGCAGUAACUGACGCUGAGGAUCGAAAGCAGUGGUAGCGAACAGGAUUAGAUUCCCUGGUAGUCCAUGCCGUAAACGGUGGGCGCUAGGUGUAGGGGUCUUCCACGACUUCUGUGCCGUAGCUAACGCAUUAAGCGCCCCGCCUGGGGAGUACGGCCGCAAGGCUAAAACUUAAAGGAAUUGACGGGG